UACGGGGGGGGCAAGCGUUGUUCGGAAUUACUGGGCGUAAAGGGCGCGUAGGCGGUGCUCUAAGUCGGAUGUGAAAACUCUGGGCUCAACCCAGAGCCUGCAUCCGAAACUGGAGUGCUAGAGUUCUGGAGGGGGUAGCGGAAUUCCUGGUGUAGCGGUGAAAUGCGUAGAUAUCAGGAGGAACACCGGUGGCGAAGGCGGCAUCCUGGACCGAUACUGACGCUGAGGAGCGAAAGCCAGGGGAGCAAACGGG
Molecule: ribosomal RNA, 253 nt
Filed under: uncultured bacterium
Lineage: Bacteria
Description: partial 16S ribosomal RNA
Rfam family: Bacterial small subunit ribosomal RNA
Source: RNAcentral